This is a long non-coding RNA of Cyprinodon variegatus (sheepshead minnow), 385 nucleotides long. RefSeq lists it as uncharacterized. The record is from RefSeq and is a predicted model, not a curated record. NCBI's taxonomy places the organism in Eukaryota, Metazoa, Chordata, Actinopteri, Cyprinodontiformes, Cyprinodontidae. The transcript is spliced from 2 exons.
CCGUCGGUGUCAGACGUCACUUCUCCACUGACUGCAUCUUAAUAAAGCUUAGCUCACCAUUAAGUUUUCUCUCAGACAUUUUAUUUCACUGUCUGAAGUCAGAUAACAGGGAUUUAUAGAUUUGUUUGCAGGUCAUAAAAACCAUCUGUUAGCCAGACAGCAGAAGCAGUUUUAUGACUGUUUAGUCAUCCAAGUAAAUCAACAUGAAUGCAGGAAGGAAAAAACAUCUGGACUGCUCAGCAGCAUUUAGCAGAAUUUCUUAAGUUUGGGAGUUUCUUUGCUGUUAGAGGUUUAAAUAUGCUAAAUAAUGUCAGCUGUGGUAUUUUGAAGCAAAAUGCUGCACUUUGUUUGGGGACACAAAAGAUUAAUGAUUCCUAAAAAAAAA